GAUGAAGAACGUAGUGAAAUGCGAUAAGUAAUGUGAAUUGCAGAAUUCCGUGAAUCAUCGAAUCUUUGAACGCACAUUGCGCCCUCUGGUAUUCCGGGGGGCAUGCCUGUCCGAGCGUCAUUUGCAACCCUCAAGCCCGGCUUGUGUGAUGGGUGCCGUCCCCUACGGGACGCGCCCCGAAGGCAAUGGCGGCGUCGCGGUUAUCCGAUCAGCCAAAGUGCAUGGGGCUUUGUCACUCACUUUACGGCCCGGACCGGCGCCAGUCCGAAUCAAUCUUUUUUCUAAAGUUGACCUCGGAUCAGGUAGGGAUACCCGCUGAACUUAAGCAUAUCAAUAAGCGGAGGA
RNAcentral lists this unclassified non-coding RNA (345 nucleotides) under soil metagenome. Its description in RNAcentral is "partial contains 5.8S ribosomal RNA, internal transcribed spacer 2, and large subunit ribosomal RNA". The stretch from base 1 to 120 matches the Rfam family "5.8S ribosomal RNA", at positions 35 to 154 of the family's 154-position model. The record is from RNAcentral.